ACAGCCCAGCGCAUAACCUCCCGGGCUACCAAGCCUGCGGCGGAAUGUUGCGUUAAAGGAAAGGUCGUUUUUAAGCCCUGCACAACGUAGUCAUAAGUUUGGCUUGAAUAUUCACUGUUUCUUAACGGAAACAUCGGCUCCACAGAGGGUGACAGACCCGUGUUGCUACGUGAAUGUGUGCGUGGGUUCGGCUUUUUUCCUUGAGAGUCGCGUUGCUUGAACAUGCAGCGCUAAGCAGGUCGUAAACUCGACCUAAGGCUAAAUAUUUCCACAGAACCGAUAGUAAACAAGUACCGUGAGGGAAAGUUGAAAAGCACUCUGAAGAGAGAGUCAAAAGACCGUGAAACCGUUUACAGUAUAAGCCAAUGGUAAUUCGGAAGGCUUGGAGCAAGCUUAUCCGCUAUCCAUCCCAAUGGACAAGGCUAUCGUGUGUGAUUAUAUGAAGGUAAUGAGCGAGUGGCAUUGAGUUGAUAACACACUGAGCAAACAUGCGGGUCUCUGACAGUGGUAACAGGGAAGGUUCUUGAGGAUCCGACCCGAGGCUGGGCUUGAGCAUGGGCUGGCUUCUAGUCACACAUUAACGAGUUGCUUUCACACAGCCCACCUGUAACUCUUUACGAGGUCACCCGUACGGACGCGACUGUUGUGCUUCGGUUGCGUCUCCGAUGAUCUUAUCGCGUGGUAUCGGACGGUCCGUCGCCUCGUGUCCCAGACGUGCGAUUGGUAUGAUCCUCUGUGAAGGUUUCUUUCUGACCAUCCUAAACCCUGAAUUGUCCGAAUGGCUGCCCUAGGAGGCCUUCAUGGGCGAUUGUCAGAUUGUUGUUAUCGGCGACGUUGGGGGAGGAUGAUAGGUGUCUAAAUCCGGAGCCAUUGGUCACGUCUCGAAACACGGGCCAAGGAGCAUAGCAUGUGCGCAAGUCUAAGGGUCUCACAAAACCCGGAGGCGAAGUGAAAGCGAAUGGUGUGUCUGUCGAUAGCCUCACGGCUGUCGGCAGGCAGCGUCCGUCGAGCGUAAUUCCUGCGCGGAUGAAUGCGUCGCUGAUUGCUCAUACCGAGUUGAUCUCUGCGCAGCCUACAUGGCGUGCGUGGAUGCAAACUCCAGACUCUAUAAUGGGCGUGCUGCGUUUUCUCAGAGUACUGUGUAGCGUGUAUGCUAUGACCCGAAAGAUAGUGAACUAUGCCUGGCGA
RNAcentral lists this ribosomal RNA (1188 nucleotides) under Austropleustes cuspidatus. RNAcentral's name for it is "partial 28S ribosomal RNA". It matches the Rfam family "Eukaryotic large subunit ribosomal RNA", at positions 104 to 843 of the family's 3401-position model. Lineage: Eukaryota; Metazoa; Arthropoda; Malacostraca; Amphipoda; Pleustidae. The record is from RNAcentral.